GACUCUCGUUGCUUAAGGUUGAUUAUAGUAAAGACAAGAACGUAAUUAAAACUAGAACAAGACUGAAUCUUGUACGUGAUUGCGUUGUUUUUUGGAAUUCGCGUGAAAACAAUAUUGAAUAGAUUAAGAGGAAAACCGCUUUGUAUUAGCACAAUGUCGUCAUUCUUGUCUGCACUAAUUGCCGUGUGCCUUAUUUCAAUCUCAAGUACUGAUGCGGGUACUUUGGAUCGAAUCUUAAGACGAAAUGAAUUUCAGCCGAAUGUUUCUGACUUGGAAAGACUGACUUUGCGAAUGCUUGAUGAUCAUGAAGCGCGCUCUCCAGAUACAAACGUUGAUUUUCCGUCGGUAAGUCAAAACGACGAAAUUUCUGAACCAUUUGUAGAGUACAAUUAUGUAAGUGACGCCGCUUUACCACCCUACGUCGAAAAAAGAACACACCGAUCAAAGAGAAAUGGAUCAUUAAGGAUGAGAGCCUCAAAACGGGCAGGUCUGGAAUCUAUUCAAAACUUACUGAGCAAGAUGUACCGAGGUAUAGACGGGAAAGGUCCAAGAGUGAGUGGAAAAUGAACUUCUUUGCAUACAAAAUCACGUUGAGAAUUUCAGCAUGCCUUCUGAGUUUUGACUUCCAGAUUACUUUAACGUAUCUGGUCGAAUAAUAUUAGCGUGGGAACUAAGGUACAUUUCAAUAGAUAACCACAUAGCCUAAGUAAAACGAGUGUGAAGCAGUCACUCCUGUAUUCAUAUGUACGGUUUCAUCAGCGAAAUGAAGUUAACACAAGAAGACAAACAAUAAUUGCAUUUAUUGGUUUCAAGCAUGUGACCCUACUUGUCUCGCCUUUUAACUAGCCAUUAUCAGAAAGAAAUCAAAAAAUAAA
Molecule: long non-coding RNA, 875 nt
Organism: Anneissia japonica
Lineage: Eukaryota; Metazoa; Echinodermata; Crinoidea; Comatulida; Comatulidae
Exons: 2
Source: RefSeq, a predicted model, not a curated record